RNAcentral lists this ribosomal RNA (408 nucleotides) under uncultured Salpingoecidae. RNAcentral describes it as "partial small subunit ribosomal RNA". It matches the Rfam family "Eukaryotic small subunit ribosomal RNA", at positions 30 to 432 of the family's 1831-position model. The record is from RNAcentral. Lineage: Eukaryota; Choanoflagellata; Craspedida; Salpingoecidae.
GCUUGUCUCAAAGAUUAAGCCAUGCAUGUCUAAGUAUAAACAACUUUGUACUGUGAAACUGCGAAUGGCUCAUUAUAUCAGUUAUAGUCUACUCGAUAGUACCUUACUACUUGGAUAACCGUAGUAAUUCUAGAGCUAAUACAUGCGUAAAUACCCAACUGCUUGUCGGACGGGUAGCAUUUAUUAGAUACAAAACCAAUGCGGGGCAACCCGGUUGUUGGUGAUUCAUAAUAACUUUUGCGGAUCGCAUGGCCUUGAGCCGGCGACGAAUCAUUCAAAUUUCUGCCCUAUCAACUUUCGAUGGUACGGUAUUGGCCUACCAUGGUUACCACGGGUAACGGGGAAUUAGGGUUCGGUUCCGGAGAGGGGGCCUGAGAAAUGGCCACCACAUCCAAGGAAGGCAGCAGG